AGCUUGAGAUCACCAUUUUCCUCCAUCAUUUUCUUCUAAAUUACAAAAUGGAGAGAAUUAAUCCUGAUUGUCCGGUGAUUUACUUACCGGUGCCAAGGCCAAGUGACAACUGCCUUGCAAAAAUUGUAAAAGCCACAUAAAUCGCAAAAGAUACUUAGGGUUAAUAUUUUUCAUUACUCCUUCUGUAUUAUCGUAAAUAAUAUCUUUGAAUAAUUGAGCACUCAGGGUCAUGGAAUUUUACUAUUCGUUUUAGCAAAUAGGCCAAUAAAACAAAAAUGGAGAGAAAUGAAAUGGUUGGUAGUUGGUAGUGCAUUUUGAUUUGAUAAAAGUUUGUCCACAAUUUAAAUUAAUUCCAAUUAAGAAAUUAAAACAGAGUUAUGAAAGCA
Arachis ipaensis is the source of this 386-nucleotide non-coding RNA. Lineage: Eukaryota; Viridiplantae; Streptophyta; Magnoliopsida; Fabales; Fabaceae. The record is from RefSeq and is a predicted model, not a curated record.